GCUAAUCCUAAACCGGGUUUGGGUGCAGAUAUUUUUGGACUUGGACCAAAGUGUGAUGGUAAACUUAGAUCAGUAACAGAAGAAGAAGAAGCAUGUAUAUGAGUAGGAAUAGAAAGAGGGUUACCUGAGACAUUUAGAGAGCCAUUGCCCAGGGCUUUCGGUUGACCAUGUGCUGGGAUGAUCAGCUGGUCUUUACUUUUUUCAGGGACUUUUUUCCUUGAAUAAACCACAAGCUCAAGAUUGUUUCUAUUUUUUUUCAUUCGUAGUAUUUCUUCUUCUGAUAGACCAAUUUCAGAUUCGGAUUCAGUAGGCUUAGUUUCCUUAUUUUCUUUUUCAAGAGAGAUAUCAAGAAUUACACUAGACAAAGGUUCAACAAUUUCCCAAAAAUUUGGUUCCACUAAUUUUUCCCCCUGAAGUAAAUUUUUGGUAAAAUAUGGGACAUUUUCCAUAAAGGAAACAUCCAUAGUUGUGUAAAAACGUUUUGUAAGGGGAUUAAAACAUUUGUAACCCUUUUUAUUAGGAGUAUAUCCUACAAAAACACAUUUUUCUGCUCUUGGGUCUAACUUAGAUCUUGACCUUUUUGGAAUGUGUACAUAUGCAGUGCAACCAAAUAUUUUCAAGGGUAAUUCAGAAUUAAUUCGAGAUUCUGGAAAUACCUUUUUCAAGCACUCCAAAGGAGUGGUAUACUGCAAAAUUUUUGUAGGAAUCCUAUUGAUUAGAUAUGAAGCAGUUAGUAUGACAUCCCCCCAUAAGUAUUUUGGAAUAUUCAUGUAAAACAUCAUAGCCCGUGCUACUUCUAACAAGUGUUUAUUUUUACGUUCAGCUAUUCCAGUCUGUUUAGGGGUAUCAGAACACAAGGAUUGAUGUAAAAUUCCUUUCUCGUUUGAAAAGGUUUCCAAAACUUUAUUAAAGUACUCAGUCCCAUUAUCAGAUCUCAAAAUACUGAUUUUUGUUUGAAAUUGGUUUUCAAUCAUUCUGUAAAAUUCUUUAAAAAUCCUUUCGACUUCAGAUUUUUCCCUCAUUAAAUAUACCCAACAAAGACGUGUAUGGUCGUCUAUAAAGGUCACAAACCAUUUUUUUCCUGAAAUUGUGGUUACUUUUGAAGGUCCCCAAACAUCACUGUGAAAAAGAUAAAAUGGUUUUGAUGCAUAGUAGGGUUUUGGAAUGUAAGUUUUUCUUUAGCUAUUUGCCAAUAAACAACUUUCACAUUGAAAUGAUAAAGGGUCAACCUUUUGAAAUAACAUUGGAAAUAAAUGUUUUAAAUAAGAGAAACUAGGAUGGCCUAAUCUGCAAUGCCAAACCAUUAUUUGAUCAUGAACAGAAAGAGAACUAAUACUACUUAGUCCUUGAGCAAUUUUAUUACUAGGUAAGUUAUCCUCGAAAUAAUAGAGGCCAUUGAUCAUCCUAGCACUGCCAAUUGUCUUCCCCGAGCUCUGGUCCUGAAAAAUACAAUGGGAUUUAUAGAAGAUAACACAACAAUUAGAAUCUCUAGAUAAUUUGCUAACAGACAAGAGAUUACAAGUAAGUUUAGGAACAUGGAGAACAGAUUAAGAUCUAUUCCCUCAGAGAUUUUUAUUAGACCUUUUCUUGCAAUAGGUGAGAAAUUACUAUUAGCUAUCCGAACCUUUUUAUUUCCAGGACACGGUGAAUAGGAUUCAAACAUGUUUGAGGAAUUGGUCAUGUGGUCGGAUGCUCCAGAAUCGAUUAUCCAUGGAGUAGAUUUAAAACGACAAGAUAGAGCAUAUAAUUCAUUACUUGUGUGUGCCAAAGAAACACUAGAAGUACUGGAUGUCAAGUUGGAUUUCAGCAGUGCAAGAAGAUGCUCCAUUUGCGCAGUGGUGAAGAGGCUGGUCUCAGUCUCAUUAGCAGUAGGAAUAAUGGCUCGGCCUGGUUUGUCACCUGUUUUUCCUUUCCAAUUUGCAAGUUUCCCAUGAAUUUUCCAAUAGUUUUCACGAGUAUGGCGAGGUUUGUUGCAAAAAUCACACCAAACUUGUGGUCUUUCAUCUCAUUUGCGCUGAAAUGCAGCAGCUUUAUUAUAGCCUCCACUCGUGGUAACCAAGGCCGAACCUUCAAUAGCAACUCCAGGUCCCUUCUUGCCCAGCAUCACAUUCCUCCGACUUUCUUCUCUUUUAACUUCUGAAAAAACUUCACCAAUUGAAGACAGGGGUUGUCUUCCAAUGAUUCUCCCCCUUACCUCAUCAAACUCGACAUUAAGGCCAACCAAGAACUUGAAGAUCCGAUUGUCUUCCAUGGUCUUCUUAUGAUGAAGUCCAUCCUCGGCAGAUUUCCACUUAUAGGUGUUGAAGAGGUCAAGGUUUUGCCAGAUCCGCUUCAAGGAGUUGAAGUACUUUGUGACGUUGUCCUCCCCUUGUCGUAUCUCACCAAGUUUGAGGGUUAAUUCAAAGAUCCGUGAUUGAUUCCCUAAAUCAGAAUACAUCUGAUUUACAUUCUCCCAAAGCUCUUGUGCUGUUGGAUAACACAUGUAAUUAGAGCUAAUGUCUUCUUCCAUAGAAUUCACAAGCCAUGUCAUCACCAUGGAAUUCUCGGCAUCCCAUAUAGCAUAGUUUGGAUCAUCCACUGCAGGAGCCUUCUUUUCACCCGUCAGGUAGCCCAUCUUUCCACGUCCUCUGAUGUACAUCCAAACUGAUUGAGACCAUCUUAGAAAAUUGUCGCCAUUCAAGUGAAUCGUGGUGAUUUGGACAGAGUGAGAUUUCGAGGUGGUAGGACUGAUUUUUGAAGAAUCAAUGAUGAUGGGAUUGUUCAGAGAAGGUUGAGGAACAGUAGUGGACUCGUUUGAAAUAUCCAACAUGGUUUCAGAGAAUAGGGAUUGAAAGAGAGGAAGAAGGAGGAUUUCGGCAAGCAAAUUGCUAGCUUUGAUACCAAGUUGAAGAAUAGGGUUUCACGGGAAUAAUUUUCUUUCAUUGAGAUUAUUCUUUUAUAGAGUUUACAACAUAUACAAAUCCUUCAAAUUAGGAAACUAAAUCACUGAUUAAAAGGAAAGAAUAACUCCUAAUAAUUACUUUCCUAAAAAUACAAAGAUUGACAACUAAUAAAUAAUUUACAGCUUUACAAAGUUAUUUCUUUCCAUAUCAGUUUCGGUUUUCCAACAAUACGAAAGUAGAACAGCAAGAAAAAAAUGUAAAUUCUCUUAAAUAAUUCUGAAUAAUAAUAAUAAUAGCUGCAAAUUAUGUCCCUAUUUAUAAGUAAUUGAAGAAUGUUAAAAAAAUAAAAACUAACUGAUAGAUACUAGUUGACAUGGGAAAACACAAAGUGAUAAGAGUUGAGCUCUUGAUUUUGAUAAAAAUUGAAAUCCUAAUUUGAUGUGAACAGGAAUCCUUUUAUCUCCUACUUCUACACCUAUAAUAAACUUGAAAUGGGUGGUCUUGAUCCCCAUCAGUAGGUAGUAUUGUAUUUCUUUGUUACGCUAUAUUGUGAUGUUAGAAACAAACUAAGAGGGUGUUUGGUAAAUAGAGAAUGACUUAAUAUGACAAUUUAAGUCAUUAAGCUUAUCAAGGCCUUGUUUGGAUUGAUUUUCGAGAAACUAAAAACUCUUUUCUAUGUCUGCUUGAUUAAUUUCAUUGAACGAACUUAUGGCUUAAAAAAGAGCUUAAUAUGGAAACCAAGAAAAUGUUGCUUCUCGUAAAAACUCUAUUUUGGCUUAUGUAAGAAGUUCUUUAAUGUUUAAUAAAACUUUUACAAUACCAAUAUUACCCUUUAAAUUCAUUGACUCUGGCUUCGGUUGUAGCUUCCAACUUAAGCAAAAAAGGAAGCUAUCCCAAACAAGGCCUAAAUAUGUUUCAUAAAACAAAUUAAUAUUUGGACUUAAAAUUAAAAAUGACGUAAAUAAUAACUUAAAAUAAAUAUCAUUUUUUAAAUCCCAAAUAUUUUUUGCUUAGUUGCUGUGUCUCGUAUCUCCUUUAUUUUCUCUUAUAACCUCAUUACUUAAUAUCAAUAGGGGUUGUUAUGUCAAUUGAAUGGUUAAAGGAAAAUUGUAAGUUGAUUUUACGUCAAACAACCUUAAUGAUUAAAGCAAGAAAUUAAGUAAUAAGUUUUUAGUUAACAACAUAAACAUAAUUUAAAUUAAAAGUCAUCUUUAGUCAUUACGCAUUAAGUGUUAAGUUUUACCAAAUACCAUCUAAGAAUGGUGUUUAACUUAUUGACUUAUGAAGUCAAAACUGAUUUUUCAUCAGAAAUCUGCUUAACAAUUACAACUUUUUUUUUUUUUAAAUAUUUAAUAAGUUCCAUAAAAAGGUUCCUAAAGUUUUAAUAUAUUCCAUUGGACUUUUGUAUUAAGAUACUCACCGAUAUAUUUGUAAAUUAAGAUGUUGACAUAUUUGUCAACAUCAAUGUUUAGAACCCAUGAUUUUCCCUCAUGGUUCGAAUAUGCUUUAUGGUUUGAUGAUUGUAUGCAGUGGGGCUAAUGUGAUGUUUAAAUCUCUUUUAUGGAUAUGCAGUGUGUUGGUCAUCAACUUGAAAACCAAGUAGAUUUCUGGGAUGUUGGAAGAUAAUUUUGUGUCAUGGGGAUUAGACCAACAAUAUAGGAGGCUGGUUUCUUAAGUUGUUGAUCUUGGUGGGAUAUGUAGAUGCCAAAAAUGGUUCUAAGUGAAUUGAAGGAAUUUAGCACGUAUGAUCCCAAGUACUCAUACUUAUUUGCAAUAUGGAUGCAUAAAGAGAACAUAUAUACUAUGAACUUCUGUAUAAAGGUUGCUGUGGAUGAUAUUAUUUGUGGAUUGAAAUAGAAUUGCACCUCUUUGAUCUUGUGGUAGACUAAUUGUUUGUUCGCAAUGUAUUUUUUUCGUUGGUGGAUAGCAUUGUGCCAUGUCUGGCAAUCUAUGUAUUGGGCUGCUAAACAUUUUCAAUCAUUAUGGUGUAUAUUGAUUGAUAUCCCAACUUUCUAAGCUAUCUUAAACAAUUUUGACUUUUCAUGGCCUCUAGAAAUAUGCUUUUUUUAUUUAUUUUAAUUAUUUCUCUCAUGCAUUUUUCCAUCUUGAAGUUUGUUGGGACAGAUGAAGCAACAUUACUAGAAUAUGCAAUCCUUGAGGUACAACAAGUCCUGUCAACUGAGGAUAUUGAUGGGAAGGAAGAGCAAUAUAUGAAUAGCUUAGUAUGUUCCAGGGUUUUCAAUGGCAAAGAAAAAAAAUUAAGUCUGGUGGAGGCUAUUUUUUUCUCGAUGAGCAUCUGGUGUGACAGUAAACUGUUGGAUUAUCAUCUGCAUUUUAGUAAGGUUAGUAGCUAUUAGUUAUUAUAUUUUGUUACUUCAUAUUUUAUUGUUCAUAUUUAAAUGAUAGCCAACAUUUUUGACAUCUUUGUAGCAUGUUCUGUCAUGUAGACUUGACUUUUGUCUAAGAUCUAUGUGUUCUCCAUUUAAGUCUCCGUGAAGGGUGAGUCCAGGUCUAAAGUUCAGGCUGAAAGGCAUAGCGGAUGUUCCCCUGAUCUUUUGUUGAUAUUGUUAUUAUUAGUGAUAUUUCUAUUGGUGUUUUUGUUGUUAAGUUUAUCCAUUUGAUUCAAAAGUUUAAUGGGCCAACAAUAUAUCAAUCUGACUUGCACUAAAGUCCUAACACCCUGCCUUAUAGGCAGCCUUCUCUGGCUUGAAUGUAGAUUUAGUAAAUAGGGGAAAUACGUAAGCGUUCACAUUUGAACUCUUGACCUCUAGGAAACCAGGCUUCGAUAUCAUGUUAAGUUACUGAUUUGAUGAAAAGAUUAAACAAUUAGGUAAUGGGACUCAAUAUAUAUAAAUAUAUACAGUUGACUUGGACGAAGCAUGGUUAUUAUUAUUAUUAUUGUUGUGUUGGUAAUAUGUUAAUUGUCAACUUGGUUGCCCAACUUCAACAUUGUUGGCUUUUCUUUUUCUUCUUUAAUAGGAAGCAGAAGAUCAUUAUUAUUAGCUUCUUCAAGUCCCUGGUAGUUCCUUCUAUACCCUGUAUAAUGUGAUUUUAUUUCCAGAGUUUCUAUGCCUAAUUAUGAUAUUUUCUUUUCAGAAACUCGACAACUUUAAAACAGUUAUGACCUUGGCAUUAGCAGUUGGUUUUAUCACUUCUAGUGAAGGCGGUGAAAUCAAGGUUAGUGUUGCUAAAUUGUAUGUCAUUCAUUUACCUUGCGGGUGGCAAAAGGAACUAUGCUAUUUCCAAGGCUUAAUUUUGUAUUUUGGUGUUCUAACAUUUGGUUGUUCAGAUGUAGAGUCCUUUUUGCCAAAAAAUUGAAAUCUUUCUUUGUAUUCCAAUUUGUAUGUCAUUCAUUUACCUUUUUGGUGGUGAAGGAACUAUGCUACUUCCAAGCCUUAAUUUUGUAUUGGUGGUCUAAUAUUUGGUUGUUCAGAUGUGGAGUCCUUUUUGCAAAAAAAUUGAAAUCUUUUCUUGUAUCCAAUUUGUAUAUGACCUAUAUCAAGUUAAACCAGUUUUUUCUUGUUACUAAGUCGUGGUUAGUUGUUGGAUGAUUUAGUUAGUUGAGUUUGUCCCUUUUAUUAAUUUGUCUAGAAACUAAUAUGAGUAGAGCUUGUUUCUAAAGGUUAGUGGUGAUCUUUAACUUGCUGACUGAGUUCCAUGGGGAUAGAGCAAUGGAUCAGAAUUUUAGUAGAGUUAGGAAGGAUUUUAAAAAAAGCUAAUGCAAAGGUUUUCAUAUGUGAAGGUUUUUUCUCAGAGUGAUUAUGGUGACAUUAGCAGCUUUUCUUCUUUUGCAUUUUCUAUAUAAUUAAAGGUUUUUAGAUUAGUUCACUUUUUCUUUAUGCCCAUCUUAUCUUCUCUUCAGUCUAGCCCAUGAGAGAAGCUAGCCUCAAGUUGAUUGGCAAUUGAUGCUCUUUCUGUCUGAUGACAACCCUCUUUUGUUUAAAAUAGUCAUGUUGAUCCAUCGCAUUAACCAUUUUACUGUCCUUAAUUUUCAUCUUACAAGAAAAGUUUUCAUACUUGCAGUUAACAAAAACUAAUGGUUUGGACGAGAUUGCUGCUAAAAAACUUCAAACUUAUAUUCAAAAAUCCAUUGAAGCUGCAUACAGCCGGGUAAGUUGGCUAAUGAUUCACCUUUUUAUGAUCGCUUUUGGUGUCCAAAUAAUAGUUCUUUUUUGGUGAAGUCAAUAUAUUUAUUUCAUUGUCCUUAGGUAGCAGCUACCAUGGAUCUUGAAUCUAAAUUAGAAAGAACACAUCCCUUGGCUCUGCUUGCAAAUGAACUAAGAUUGAUUGCAAAUAGAGAGUUAACUGUAUUUUGCCCCAUCCUACGUCAUUGGUGUCCAGAAGCUGGGAUGAUAUCAGCGAUGCUGCUAAACCAACUUUAUGGGGAGAGACUGGUCUGUUUCCAUGAUGACUAAUGAAAAUCAUCUCUAUGUCUUUGCAGCUGGUGCAUCCUUACUGCUUUGCUGCAUCUUUAUUUAAAAGGCUGUUGUUUUUGUUGACAUGUAGAAACCAUUCCUCAAAGGAGUAACGAGUCUUUCUGAAGAUGUCAAAUUAGUGCUUCCUGCAGCUGAUAUGUUAGAUCAUGACCUGACUCAACUAUAUUCUUCUGCAUGCAAGGACCAUGGGUCAUUUCACCCUUUUGUCCAAGAUUUUGAUCAUUAUGAGGUUGGUUUCUUCCUUCCCAACCCACCCAAAUUUCCAAACUGAAAAUUUUAUGUCAAUUGUUCCAAUAUGGCAUGUCUCUGAUAAUUUGAUAUCACUGUUCUUGUCUUAUAAAAUCAUAUAUUCUUCCUGCAUAUCGUUUGAGUUUCCCUGUUUUAGGCAUCUCAGUAAAAUAUGGCUUAGAUAAUAUGAAAAUUAGACUAGAAUUAUAUAGCAAGAGCACUUCUAAAAAAAUGAAAGUUUAAUUCUUGACUUUUGGAAGUGAAACUAUAAGUAAUGGAUGUGCAGCAAACUGAAAUUUUAGAUCAAGUGCAUUUCAUGCGCUUCGGCGGCCUGAAUCUUAAGACACUUCAAAGGUAGCAGAACCAAGCUUCCUACUUAAUCAUGAAACAUGGUUCAAACAUUCAUAAUGCAAUCCAUUCCAAUUCUUUCAAUCUACUGCACUUUUUUAAAGUUUGUCUCCUUGUUCAUGAAUCCUAAUUUUUAAUUAGCCAAACUUAACACUUUGUCGAAGGACUGUACCUAUUACAAUUUACAAGCAAGGGCUGUCAAAUGUGUUCUUGUGAACAGGUUGUCUUAGGUAAAUUUGGGAAUUUUUAUGCUGUUUAAAAACCUAAUCCAAAUUAAUUGAAUUCCAUUUGCAAUAUAAUUAUAAUAGCAAACAAUCUGAACUGCAGCAGAUCUUAUUCAUGCCCAUGGACGAGCAUAUGUGGAAAACACCCUAUGAUUGUGAUUUUUUUACCAGAGUUAAAAACCCUGGGCUGAACAGCUGCAGUGGUAAUUCACUAAAUAAAAAGGGCUCAGAGAAUUUCUUUGAAUCUGAAAUGCUCAUCCCUCCUGACAGACUUACUCUUGAUUGUACUUGCAAUCUUUUGUCACUUCCUCGAUGUGGCAGUCCCCAAUUGCUCCUUAAUUAUAUGUUUCUUCUAGCAUUUGUCUUGUUUACACAAUGGGUAUGAGGAUCAUCCUGUUCCUGGGAUUAAAGUUCUUACAUUUAAAAACUAUGAUAGCAUUCAAUCUGUGUCUUUUGUGUGACUCUGGGUCCUAUUGACAUAGAAGAUGAACUGUCUUGGAUGUUGGUGCUCACAGCGAUGCACAAGUACUCUUGUUUGAGAGCCCGAUCAUUUAGAAGUAUCUUUUUUACAUGUUUUGAGUUGUAAUCUGAUGCUUCAUGUGCUUUGUUAUAAUAAUGAGAUGGAGAAUGAGCUGUUUGUCCUUUUUCUUUGUGUGCAGAUUGGGGAAAUUUCUAGACCUAUUAUUCUUGAUUGGGUGAUUGCUCAACAUGGGCGCAUCUUGGAAUGGACUGGACGUGCUUUUGAUCUUGAGGUUGGUCAUGUACUCAGUAGGAUUCUUUAGCCUUUUAGUAUAAUUGUAUUCUUUGAUAACAAUCCAGUAGAGUACAUGAAUCAGUGUCUUUCGCCAUUGGGAAAGAUUAAUUAAUAGCCAUUUAGUGGAAGUAUGGAGGCUCCCUUUCAAAUAAAAAACUUCACCUAGAAUAUCAGGCGUCCGUGAGUUAUCUAGGUCUCCUCUUAGGUGGCAACCUGAAAGUGCCUGCUUUUGGAAUUUGGUUAUUGUGGGUGUCUAAACAAUUAGGUGGUUGAAAGGAGUCUUUUAUUUUGUUAGGAAUCUGAAUCACAUUGAAUCAAUCCUUCCUACUCAUAUCCUCACCUAUUCUUCUCUUUUUUGAAUCCCUCGUAGGAUUGCUACUGGGAUUGACAAACUUGCUGGAUUUAUUGUGUUGAAAGGCAAGGAAGGUGUUAGGGACCAUCUAAUUAGGGGGAAUUGACUCUCGUGGGCUACUCUAAAUGUUACUGUCUGAGCCUGAAGGGUAUCUCAUCCUUCUUUAAUUUGGGUUUUUCUUAAAAAGAUUUGUUUGUUUCACAUAAAAAAUUUCAAAUAAAUUCUGUGUGUGUUUAUUUACCAGUAUGCAUUAAAUAUUUUAUUGUGGCAACUAAAUGGAGAAAAUGUUGUUCUAGUUUUUCUUUUAGAGUUAUUGAGAGGGUUAUGAAUGCCUGUGGGGCUAGGCAUGCAUGGGCUAUCAGUUGUUCAUGAGGGCCAUGCAGAAUGGUGACAUGAUGAAUGUGCCAAUAAGGACUGGCAAUUUAACUCCAGUUUGAUGUUCUCCGAGUAUGAGAGGAAGAUACAAAACUUGGGUUGAAAUGGUAAGAAAAGACAUGAUAAUGUUUAAUGUGAUGGAGGACAUGGCCCUGGAUAAAGCUGAAAGCUGAUCAAUGUUUCACAUAGCUGAUUGUUAGCAAUUGGGGUUCAGGGCUUUUCUAUUGUAGUUAUUUUAAUUUUUCUAAUGACUCAAGUUAAAAAAAUGUCAUAGUAUGAUUGUUUUAAUCAGUGAAAAGAUUUUAUGUGUCAAACAAUUAUCUCUAUAUUCAAAGCAUUGUAUAGUGACUAGGAGAGAGCAGUGGAUCUCUCCAUGAUUGUACAGAAAAUUAGAGAGGGAAAUUUAGUCAUGUUGUGGAUUAUGAUGAAGUCCAACAUUUACUAAAAUAAUCCUGCAUACUUGAUACUUUUUAAAUGCACACUGGAAGUUGGACAUGAUGUGUUUGAUUUUUGGGCACAUGCAGGAUUGGGAACCUUUAUCAUCUCAGCAAAGACAGGCAGUAUCUGUAGUUGAAGUGUUUAGAAUUGUAGAGGAGGUAUGUAUUAUUAUUAGGAGAGUUAUUUGAUGCACUGAAGUAGUUUUUUAUUGAGACAUUAUAAAUUUAAUCGCCAUAUGAUAAAAAAUGAUAUAGAUGGAGGUUGCUCAAAAUAGAAGUUUCUUAAUUGAGCUUUUUGGAAGGGUUUGUCCCACUAUGUUCCAUUGGUUGUCUUCUCUAACCAUUCCACUACAAAUUUGUACUCCCAGGAUUCUAAAUUCUUCCUUUCACAGUUUUCUUCUAUGGAUGGCAUUUGUGCCUUUUAUGAAUCUAGCUUUUCUUAAAUGCCUUCAGUUUUGUAUUGUAUGGUGGCCUUAUAUUGAACUUUACUUGCAGACCGUGGAUCAAUUCUUUGGGUUGAAUCUUCCAAUGGAUAUCACACAUUUACAAGCUCUACUAUCUGUUAUUUUCCAUAGCCUGGAUACAUACUUGCAGAAAGUAAUCAGCGAGUUAGGUUAGUGUCAUUAUGUAUUAGCAUACUUAAAAUUGGAUUUACUGCUAAUUAGUUCUUGCUGCUCCUUGAACCUGACUUGAUAAAAACUAUGUAGAACUGAAAGAAACUCUUUUGUUUAGGGGGCAUUUUUCUUUUUGCAUCUGUUAUUGGUUUUGUUGUAUCACUUAUGAGUAAGGACGAAGGCUUCCAUAUGGUCCUUGGUAGAGGAAUACAUUAUAACUGUCCUUUUAAAACUAAUAUUUAAAGCUAUGAUGAUGACCCUCGAAAAGCAGUCUGAUGCUUUUAUAUUUGAUUUUCAAGCUACUUAUCAAAAAAAAAAAAAAAUAUAUGAUUUUCAAGCUGACUAGUGAGAAUGAAAUUGAUUUCCAUGAAACAGUUGCUAGAUGCUCCCUUUCCUAUCGUCUAGUGUGUAGGGUUGCAACUUGGGGGGGUUUAGUUGGGUUGAUGGCUAACCUGAGCUCAACCCAAAUUAAAAAACAAUCAACUCGAGUUGAGUUCAUGUUGGUUGGGUUAGAUUUGGGUUGGUUGUGUUGAUCGGGUUGCAUAAUUCAAAAACCAUCUGUAAUGUUUUUUUUUUAUUUAAUUUAAUUUUUUUCUAUAUAUUUAUAUAAAAAUUUAAAUAGUAAAUAAGACAAAAUUUAAAAAUAGCAACAAAAAAGUAAAAAUAAAUUUAUAUAUAUUUUUAAAAUAAUGAAAAAUUAUAUGAUAUAAUAUAAUUUGAUAUUUUUUCUUAAAAAUUUGAAAAGAAAAUGAAUAUUAUUAAUAUAGGAUAACAUACAUCAUAAAUAUUGUAAAGACAUUAAAUCGGGCUCGGGUUGCACAAACCUUGUCCCAAGUCCAACCCAAAUUGAGCUUGGGUUGAAAUCACCUAACUCAAGCAAAAUCUGAGUAUUGAAAAUGAUUGCUCCGGCCCUUCCAAAUGUUGGGUUGGAUCGAGCCAACCUGCCCAAGUUGCAUCCCUAGUAUAUAUAGUUUUAUGCAGAGGUGUUUAUGCAUAUACAUAUGUGUGUGUGCGUAUACUACGUAUGUGUGUGUGUGUGUGAGAGAGAGAAAUUAAGUCUAGUGCUUCUCUUGUGUUUGGUUAUUUUUUUAUUAUAAGAAAUUAAUGAAUCCUUUUUGUGAAAAUUAUUUUGUAUCCUCAGAGUCCAUUGCAAAUGUUGCAAUUAUUUAAUCGAAAACAUGUUGUCCAAUGUAAAAUACUGAUCAUAAUGCUGUUAGUGGUGCAGUUGAGAAGAGCUAUUUAUUCCCUUCUACUCCUUCUUUGACUCGUUAUAAGGAGAUGGUUAUUCCAAUAGCCAAGAAAAAGUUGGUCGAGUCUACACCCUUGGAUGAGAAAGUGAACAAUAAGUUGAAUGAAUUGACAAUAUCCAAACUGUGUGUCAGAUUGAACACUCUUCAAGUGAGUGCCAUUUUUUUCUUUUCGAUUUUUGGAAAUUAGUCUUUUACAUGAUUUCUGUACUUGUUUAGCUAACUCGAAUUUUUUUGCAUGAGUAUGCUUGAUGUUUGUGGUUGUUAAAUGGACCAUACACUUCUCAAAUUACUUCUACUGUGUAAUAUUGAAUUUAGUUCAUAAGUUGUGAGUUCAAAAGAAAAUAAAACAAAAAGAAUGAUGGUGUCAUUAUAAUGGUUUAGAAGUACGUUUUGAGGGAGAGAUUUUGAUUGGUCCAGAACAAAAUGCUUUGGGAAUAUUUGGAAAUAAAAAUAAACAAUAUAAAUUUUUGGAAAAGAUUUGACAACAUGCAGGGAUGCUUGAAAGGGACUGAAAAAGGAGCAUUUAUUAGAUCCGAAGAUAUGCUAACGAGGUGAAUUAUUGACUGCACUGGAAGGACAAUAAAUUACUUUGCCUUACAAAUUAUUGAUGCUAAUUUUUCAUUUGAACACAAAAUUCAUAAAUGAUAACAGAGAAUUAUGAAGUGCUAAUCCAAACACUGAUACAUGUGAUAGUUCCAAAGUGUUGUGUUAUGCUUACACAUGCAAAACAAAAAUGCUAAUAUUCCUUUCUGUCCCUGUUACUAAAGUUUUUAUCUGCUUGGACAAGCUCAAGUACUGUCAUGUAUUAAGAAUAUUAUAUUCAAGUUUCCCAAGGUGAUUUUAUUUAUUUCCCUCCUGAUUCAAUGUUGUUUGUUUUGAUUGGCAGUAGAAACAUCGACUUGGUCACUAUGACACAUAGGUUAUUUACUUGUUCUGAUAUAAGAGGUCUAGACUUUUGUUACCUGGAACCCCAACUUUAAAGUCACAAGAGUAAAAUGUAGGUCCUUACUUAGAACUUUUGUUUUGAAUGUCCUUGUGUUAAAAUGUCCUCAUAUUCUCAACUCUUUUGUUUAAUGGUUUUAUUUCCUUCUUCCCUGUGGCCUUGAAGAUUUUCAGAGCUUAAUUGGUAUACAGAGUCAUCUAUUACAAGGAUUUUAUUUGUGUACUGCAUUUGCUGAAACACAAUUUUGUUUGCAGUCAACAUGCCAUCAAAUCAUUUCUUUAUUGUUGUUGCUCCUGUGCUGUUGUUAACAUCUAUUGUUUCUUCAUGCAGUAUAUUCAGAAACAAAUGCGUACCCUAGAAGAUGGCAUUCGGAAAUCUUGGGCACUUGUCAGACCAUCUGCUAAUCAAAGAUGGAGUAAGUUUUGUUUGGUUGAUGGCAAAUGGACAACCUAAUAUUUAUGCAUUUCUUUAAGUUUUAAUAUAUUGGCAAUGAAUUAACCUUGUCUAGACUUUUUUAAGCCUCUCUAUCUCUAUAUCCAGAGCCUAGGCAUGAUAAUUUUCCAGUCUACUAUUUUACUUGCUGUAAAGAAUGCUAUCAUUGUGAAUAGAUCACACUAUGGGUAGAUGAUAAAUUUAAAAUCAAUGGACUAAUGCUGAUUAGUAUUGCUACAGGCAACUACCUGGGCAAGCAUAUAUUUGCCUCUUACCACAACUUCAUAAUAUGUUUGUAUUAUGUCUCUAUCUGAAGGAAACGAUAAACCUACAUGAAAUAGCAAUUCAAAGUGUAGAGAGGCAAAAUAUCAUCUUGUAUCUGUUAAGAGGAAAUCGGAAACUGGGAUUUCGAAAUUAGAAAUGGCAUUUUUUUUUUUCUGAGAAAAAUGACUUUGGUGUAUGUUCUCCAUUCUGGAAUAUUUUAUCAUGCUAAUGGUAGUCUUGACUUUAACCCAUUAUGAAUUUUGAUAUGUUCAGAUUCUUUAUUCAUUUUCUUUAAGUGAAAAUCAAUAGGUGUAAAAUGAUUUAUAUGUAACAGUUUUGACUGUCAUCCUUAUUUCCAGCCAAAGAGGAAUCUCUAGAAAAUUUGGAGGAGAGUUCAAUGAUGUCUAGUGAAUCAAUUGAUGAACUAUUUUCCACCACCUUUAACAUAAUCAGGGAUACUGCUACUGAUGCUAUCAACAAAAUUUGUGACUUCAUUGGUGAGUUAAUAAGCUCCAGUAUAUUAGUAAUAUGCAUCUUACUGACACACUGAUAGAUUUUCUCCAUGUACUUGAAAUAUGUUUGUGAAAUUUAAUUUGUCAUAAUUUGUAAUUUUAACAGCUGGAACAAGUUGUUUCCUUGAAUGCCUGUAUCUUUGUGCAUUACAUUGCUUGUCAGCUUGUAAAUUGCUUUCUAAGUGCAUGUUUGGGCACAUUUCGUUUUUUUCUUUUUGUUUUAAAAAUAGCCUUAUACAAAAUGUGGGAAUUCUGAUACAAAAAGUAGGUAGAUACCUUACAUACUUGAAAACACUUUUAAAAAUUUAAGAAAGUAAAAAAAUAUCACUUCCACAGUUUUUUUAAAUUUUGAAAAGAGUCUUAAGAACACAAGAUAAAUUUUUGUUUUUUGUUUAAGAGUUCUUAUAUUUUGUUUAUAAGUUUCUAUUUUUAAAAAUAAAAAAUAGGAAGUAUAUUUAAAUGUCACCUAAGUUAUAUACAAUGAUUCAUUUUUUUAUUUUUUUAAAGACCUGGAUCAAAGAUUAUAAACUCAAAAAUUUAAAUACACAACACUCUUUCAAAUGGUAAGAACCCUUUAUUUGGAUUUUCUUUUCUAUUUUCCUUUUUUUUUUUGGUUGAUUAAGGUUACUCUUCAUUUCCAAUCUAGAGAUGGCCAUUACUAACCAGGACCUACCUUCAACCUCACCAAAAUGAGCAGGUUCAAGUCAACUUAACAGAUUGCCUAUAGGUUUGGCCCUUCCCUAACUGGACAAACUUGAAAUCAACUUGAUUAGUGAAAUGCCUUUCUUUACAUUUAACUAAUAACAUUGGGCCAUUGCUUGGUUAGUUGACUAGUGGCUUGGCUAUGUCUGGAACCCCUUUCCAAUUUGAAUUGCAUAUGCAUCCAUUCAAUACAAUUUAUAUUGUUUUGAAACAACAUAGUUGUAAGAAUUCUCGCCCAUCUUACUUUUCUUUCUUUUACUGAGAUUUUGAAGCCAUGCUUCUCUCUCUCUUGAGUGGAAGGAGGGUGGAUAUACAAGGAGGAAGAAACCACUCUCUGUGUGUGAUCAGAAAUAACUGUUUCAUUGCAUUGAAAUAUUAAGUGCAAAGAAAGCAUGAUAAAGCGAAAUCAGUCUCUCUUUGUGGGUGGGAUGGUGGGAAAAGUCAACAAAGAGGAAGAGAAUCAGAGGAUUUAAGAAAAGCACAAGAGCCACAUGAUGGGGGUGGUGGGUACUGAGUUAGUGUAGUAGAGUGAGCUUGGUUUGCUGCAUCUUAAAACGGAAUUCUACAGUUAUGGUAAAGCUUUGUUCAAAUAAUAGAACUCAGGGCAAGAAAUCUUAGAAAAACCAACUUUAACUAGAUUAUGAUCUCAAGAUAGGGAAUUUGUAUAAGAAGCUUUGCAUUCUAUGCAUUGUGGUAGCAGAAGCUGUGACACCAUUUUGUUGUGCAAUAAGAUAUAUCACAUGUAAAGCAAAUCCACACAUAAAGCUGGACAAUAUAUAACAUGAUUUAGCCAACCAUACACAUCCAUGAAUGAGAAAAAAUCAAUUCACUAUAUAGAAAAUAUUACAUGGGGAAGCAAAUGCAGAUACAAACAAUAGUCUCUCGAAACAUCUAUGCUUUUGUGCUCGUAGUAUUACAUCUUAAGCUGAGCUCUGGGACAUCCCAUGUUUCUUUGCUCUACCUAUGUCUUCCGUCUCUCCCUUAUAUCUUUCAUUCUCAGUAUAGCCUUUAAAGUGCCAUCUUAAUUUCAUUUCAUUUUCUUGUUAUGGCAAAAAAUAUCUGUACAGACAUCUGAAAUCUUUCCUUAUUCAACAAGGAAAUCUAUUUCCAUGAGGAAGUAUCAAAAUAUAAAUGAUUCUACACAAAAAUGAAUUCUUAUGAAAUUAGUAGUUGAAUUAAAUUGGAACUUUAGAUGCCUUCUAAGAAUCUCCACCUUUGGCUUAAAUUCCAUGGUGUUGGCCUUUGGAAAUCCAUAACAAAGGAGUGGGAUCUUUGAGCAGCAGAAUAUCAUUCUCAGUAGGUAAUGGUUAGAGAGUGAGAUUUUGGAAGCAUAAGUGGUGUGAAGAUGAGUUGCUUUGUGUUUCCUUUCCCUACUUAUUUCACUUAGCCAUUUCUAAGUACGGGUGGGUGGCAGAUGUGUGGAACUCAAUAGUCAAAGGGGGUGGAUGGGUUCUCGCUUCUCUAGGUCGUUUAAUGAUUAGGAGGUUGAAAGUGUGGAGCGUUUUGUAUUGAAACUUCAAGCAAAAAGGGUGUAUAGGGAUGAAGAAGAUAGGGUGAUUUAGAUGGUUUCAAAGAGUGGAAAGUUUUCAAUCAUAUCCCUCUAUUCCGUUUUGGAGCCUAGUGACCCUUUAUUGUUCCCGCAGAGCAUCAUUUGGAGUUCUUGCGUGCCAUCCAAGGUGGCUUUUUUUGCUUGGGAGGCAACUUGGGGGAAAGCCUUAACUUUGGAUCAUGUCUAGAGGAGGGGGUUUCUUUGGCAAAUAGAUGUUUUCUUUGCUACUCUAAAGAAGAAACUGUUUGAUCACAUUCUUCUCCACAGUGCAAAGAGAAGGAUUAUUUGGAAGCUGCUUUUUACUUUGUUUGGAGUGUCUUGGGUUCUUCCCUCUUUGGUUAAAGAGACACUCCUUGGGUGGCAUAGGUCCUUUUUGGGUGAAGGUCGCAAAAAGCCUUGGAAGGUUGCCCCUUUAUGUAUCUUUUGGACCGUUUAGAAAGAAAGGAACAUGCUUGCUUUUGAUAAUGCGGAGUUAACGGUCCAAAGGAUGAAAAACUCUUUUGUUUGUAAUUUGUGGUCUUGAACUAGGGUGUUUAUAGAUAUGGGCCCUACUUCUUUUAUUAGUUUUAUUGAUUGGCUAGGUUAAUAAGGGCAGGUGAUGUUUUUUGUUCUUUCCCUCCCCCACUCGGUUAAGCCUUUCGGCGGCUAGUGUGUACUUCCUCUAUACUUUGGGACGCUAUUUGGGCAUUUCCUUUUAAUAUAUACUCUUUGUUUUACCUAUCAAAAAAAAAAUGUGCCUUAGCUAGUGCACACUCCUUCAAAGUGCCACUGCUGAGGCAUUUAAUCAAUGCACUCCAUUUGGAAACUUGUUUGAAGCACAUCUACUAGAUGCUGGACUUUUGAAUAAAAGAAUACUGAUAACCAUCUAUCAUCUCCAAUCCUAAGUUCACAAUACUUGAUGUUCCAAAUCCUUUGCACAACAUAUCCCUUGUAUGCUACUAACUCCCCCAGUUUCACCUUCUAGUAUCUCUAAAUUGUUGAGACACUUUAACAUUUCUAGUUUUCAUGAUUCAAUAAGUGUCUUGCAACACAUUCCUAAUUCAUCGAGCUCAUACUCCAUGUAUCAUAUGAAGAUGAGAGAACAAAUGAUUCAAUUUUCAAUCAAAAUUCCUGUUGCAAUUCUCUUAUACAGUUUGGAUCUCUUGUGGCAUCUUUAUGUUCUAAUUGCACAUUCUGAAUCGCCAAAUUUGCACUUCCUCCUUGCACUUCCAUAAAUCUUUACCUUAGCUUUGAUACCACAUGUUCUAAUAGAAGAUUUGACUCCAAAUUGUUGUGUGAUAAAAGAUAAGCAAAUCCACACAUAAAGAUGCACAAGGUUUAAUGUUGCUUGAUUAAUUAUGCUUAUAUCAUUCAAUGAGACAAAUCAGUUCACUAUUACCAUAGAGAACAUUACAGAGGGAAGUUAACACAGAUAUAAAACUUGAGUCCCUAAACAAUCUAUGUUUCAUUGGUCCUAGUAUUUAUACCUUGAACCUGGACCUGAAACAUUUCAUAUUUCCUCUUCCAAUAGAUGGCUCCCUUCUUUCCCUCACUUUACUUCCUUGGUAUAGCCUCUAGAGGCACAUCUUAAUCACACAACUUUUUCUGUUCAUGACCUCCAAUAUCCAUGGAGAUAUUUGCAACGCUAUGUCUGGUUUCCAAGAAGUACUAAGGAAAAAAAUGCUAAGAAUUAAUUCCUCAUGUUUGGUUCACCAUAGAAAAUACAAAAUAAAAUAAAAGAUAUUUAGAAUUAGUUUAAAACUUAUGCAUUUUUACAUUAUUUAAUCUUUAUAUAGAAGAAAAAUAAGUAAAAUGAGUUGGAAGAGGUAUCUAAAAAUAAUUUAUUAACUUUAACACAGGGUAUGGCCAUCCCUUAUUUAACAAGGGAACCUGCUUCACUAUAAAAUGUUCAAAUAUAAAUUGUUCUUUUCUACAAUAUUCUACACCAAAAAAAAUUCUCAUGAAAAUAAUGCUUGAAUCAAGUUGGAUUGAAGUCAGUUUUCAACAAUAUAAAUGAUACAUGGAUCAGUCAGGAAUAUAAUGCCCUUCAGUAAAGGAAUGGAUGGUAUCGAGGGCUAAAAGGAAGCAUUUAUAUUUAUAGUGUUAUUUCCUCUUCCUUCUGCUUCUUCCUCUCCAUAAACUGUAAUUUUUUCCAUACAGCUUUAAACCCCAUUAUACUCAAAAAGCAUGUCAGUACCCUUUACUGUUAUUGUAUACCAUUAGUUAUGAUUCUUGAAAUUUAGUUCAUGUUUUAAUUUUCUAGUACUGAACUUUUAUAAAAACCUACUUAGCAAUGUGGCAUUCUAACUAAUAAUUAUUUCCAAAUUUACCAUGUUGUACUUAUUAUGUUUUUGACAUUUCCAAAGACAAUUUACCUUGGUUUUGUUUGUUAAAUUUAACUCUUAGGUACCAAAGUUGUGUUUUGGGAUUUGAGAGACUCGUUCUUAUUUCGUUUAUACCGUGGUAAUGUUGAAGAUGCUCGCUUGGACAGUAUUCUUCCACAUGUUGAUACUGUAAGAUAUGAAUGUUAAUUGUCUCUCUUUAUCUUUGUAUGUAUGUACAUGUGAUCACAUAUCGAAUUUCUAUCAUAGCUUUGUAGUGUUUUUCUCUAUUAAGCUGGUUACAAAACCCUUUUAAUCUAGAGCCCAUUGUUGUAGGUCCUUGAUCAAAUAUGUGAUUUGAUUGAUGAUGCUCUCAGAGACCUCGUGGUUUUAAGCAUUUGUAAGGCAGCAUUGGUAUGCUCUCAACCUUGUUUGUCAAAAUCUGUCAAGGUCCCUUUCUUUGUGGUCCUGAUUUUCUAUGUUCUCAUACAGGAAGCUUUUGUUUGGGUUUUGCUGGAUGGAGGACCUUCUCGGGCAUUUUCUGAUUCAGAUAUCCCAAUGAUGGAAGAUGACCUCAAUAUGUUGAAGGUAUGGAACAUUUUUCCCAAUCCUUUUGGUUUAAUUUUAUUGGUCAGUACAUCGAAUCAGCAUACUGCUAAAUGUAGUCAGUUUCUGUUUGAAAGGUAGCAACUGAUUGGGUGCCACUGAUAAACCCAAGUGGAACUGUCACGAUUACUUUCCUGAUACAUAUUUGCUUUCUAUUUUCAUUUCAAUUUCAUUGCCGUCUAAUAGAAUUAUGCUGCUUUGCUUUAUAGGACUUAUUUGUGGCAGAUGGAGAAGGCCUUCCACGCUCAUUAGUUCAGAAGAAAGCAGAAUUUGCUGAACAAAUACUGAGCCUUUUUGCCCUUCAGGUUUUGUUCACCCAUGGUUGAUAAUUAUGCACACCCACAAAUCAAUACACGGCCAAAAGAAGGAAUAAUAGAAACUAGCAUCAUGAUGACUUCUUCCUUUUUUUUUCUCCUGCAGACAGGAACAGUUAUCCAAAUGUUGAUGACGGCAAGUGAACACAUUUCAACAGGAUUAGAUUCUCGUAAACAUGGUCGCCUAUGCUUGGGAGACGCUCAAACCUUAGUACGAGUAUUAUGCCACAAGAAAGAUAGAGAAGCUUCGAAGUUCUUAAAAAGGCAAUAUCAGCUCCCCAUGUCUUCAGGUUAUUUUUUUAUCCCUCAGUUAGACUACCCUGAAACACAAUGUUUUAAUUUGGUAUUGGUUCCUAAGCGGUAUUGAUGUUGUUCUAGUCUAUUCUGGCAGCCUUCACAUCAUUACAUGCUCAAUGGAAAAUGAAACCUCUGGGAAAAAUGAAUGCCGUAUCUUAGAAGUGUUUUGGACUAAAACAUCCUACUGCACUUGUGGGGGUUUUUCUAAAGCUAGGGUCCCCACUUUGAGUAGUAAGCAGGGGACUCAAUUCAACACAGUAAAACGAUAACAUUUAUCCUGAAAUGGUUGGGAUGAUGCGUACACGCACUCUCACACUUGCUUUUCCAACCAAGAUCCAAAAUCUAAAUACUGCUUGAUUUACUUUUCAUUUUUCCUCCCACCUUUCUCGGCAAGGGUGCAAGUUCCUUUUGUGGCAGCUGUUUAAUGCUUUUGGCCAAUCUUUGACUCUAAAUCCCAACCAUCUUUGCUCGAAACUUUAUAAUCUGGUUUCCCUUACAUUUCACUAACUAAAAAAUAAGCUUAAAUCCUUUCUAGCCACCGCCAGAAUAUAAUAAAGUUAAGUGAAGUGAUUUAUUUUUUUGGCAGAAUAUGACGAUACUCCGUCAAAGGAUUCAACUUUGAGAAGUCCCCUUAUUUCAGAUCUCAUAAAGCGAAGCGCAUCAUUCCACUGGACGGAGAAGGGCCAGAGUAGCUUCAUAUCUUUAAAAAAGAAACUCCAAGAAGCAACUUCCGAAAUCAGAUGGUAAACACAUUUCCCUUAUUCUUCCGUGUCACAUGUUUGACACGGAGCUCUAAGUCAUUAUGGGCAUAUGGGAAAGGCUAUGGUUUGGCCCCCUUCCGUUUUACGGUGUAAGGGCGUGCCCGUCAUAGCAUUUUAAGCGUUAAUAUAACGCAAACUCUAUAAAUCAAUAGUCCCCCGCGGCCUACCCACACCAAUCAUAGCAGAAGAGUGCCAUUGUCUGAUGGGCCCUGCUGCCAUUACGUCUCAAAGUUUGCGGAUGACAAUCAUUUUGGAUAAAUAUGUACCUCCAGGUCUCCCCUGAUGUGUUCAGAAGAAAAUGUUGUGUGCUGAUUUGAUUUGGUGAUGGUCCCAAAAAGCUAGAGCCGUGUCAUCUAGAUUUAUCCUAUUCGAGCUUUGGAAAAUGAUAUGCUACCAAAUGGGUUUCAUAUCUAAACUUCAAGAUUGAACUGUGUAUUAGAAUUUUGGUAAUUAAAUAAAGUCAUAAAGAAAUGAGAAUGGAUAAUAUUAAUAAAAGAAGAAGAAGAAGAAGAAGGUAGAAGUGAUCAAGUGAAUGAAACUUGGAUAUAGAUCGAUGAACCAAAUAAAAAUAUAAGCUAAUGAGAUAUUUUUGACAUGGGCAUCUUUUUUCAAAGCAUAUAUAAGUUAUAGUUUUGUGAAUUAUGUUUACAUUCUUCCUUAUACCUGUGAUAUCCCUUAUUUUUUUUUUUCUAUAUUCUAUCAAUCUGUAAUUCAAAACAGCUGAACAAUAAUUUAAUGGUGGAAAAUUUUUGAAGUAUAUAUUGUAGCCGUGCAUGCAAUUUCUUACUUCCCACACUCCAAUAAACUUGGAAACACUGCCACAUCUAGAUUUUUUUUUUCUGCCCUACCGUCGAAGAUUCGAAUCCAAGGAUGUUAGUCUCUAUUCUCUAAGAAUUUCCAAGAUGCUACGAAUUUGCUUUGGGUAACCGGACGUGUAUAACAGAUAUUCCCGCAAAAGACCUAGUCAACCAAGUCAACUGGCUUGCAUAUAUAUAUAUAUAUGAAAAGUCACAUGUUCAUCUUUUAAUUUUUGCCUCUUUUUUUUUUUUGGGUGUUAAAACAAAAGCUUUCAAAUCCCAAUCACACGGGAUAUGAACAUACACUUUGCAAAAGCUUUAGGCUUUCGGCGCAAUGAGACAGAGUGAGAGCCAAGUUCAUUUCCACUAAACAAAGCAACAUCAAUAUUUAUGAUUUGCCCAUCCCGUGGAUUGAGGACUACUGUAGCAAAAUCACAGCCGACAUUCAAACCAUUGAUUUUGUUCAAUCACAUCAUUACCGACUUCUCUUCCUUCUCUUCCACUUGUCGGCCGCUUCCCUCCUCUACACCCACCUCCCAACGGCACUACACUACCCGGAACCAGAGUCACCGGAAUGCCAAUUGCCAUCUGAGAUGGGUCCACCGCCGGCAACUGCGUGUGGCCAGGGUCCGCCGGCCUCUGCUGGAAAACUGGAAAUGACCCUUCUAACCUCACGGCAACAUUCACAAUCCCAUGCCCUCUCGUACCGUCUCUGUCCCGGAGACGGUAGCUUAGGUGCCGCAGAGUCCCCGCCGGAGAGAACCCUUCUAGAAUAUCCCCGGCCGGAAUCUGACACCAACCCAGCUGAAUCUUGCCCUUCAUGAGACGCUUGGUGUAGAUGUGGAGGUAAAUGGCGGAGUAUCUGUGGGAGAAGAAGGUGGCUUCCAUGGGCAGCCGGAACUUGUCACCCCAGGUGGGAUUGAUUCCCCCCUCGUCGUCCACCCUUGUCAUGUACACCUGGCUCUGUUUAUCAGCGCCAGUGGGCUUGUAGGGCGUGGGUGGGGCAGUGGUGAGAGUGAUGAACGGGCGGAUGCGUUUAGAGAAGAAGGUGGAGGUGUUCUUAAGGCCCUCUGCUGAUACAAUUGUGAUUUCGAUAACGAAAGGCUGGCGAUUAGUAUCGAACAUGGUGACUCUGUGAGGGAUUAAUUUACAUACAAAAUUCAAAAUAGAGUUGAGUGAGUGAACGAGUGAAGAGCCAAUCUGGGUUUUUGAGUUUCAUAUAUACAGAGAGAAACAAGAAUGAAAAAAGAGGAGUUGAUGGGAAGUUGGGAUGCUACUCACUCUGCAAUUUCCCUUGUGGAAUAAACUCCCCCAUAUAUGGAAAUUUCAUGUUGGCUGAGUCAACUAACUCGCAUGUGAUGACCACGUGUAGAACAGUAUAUUUACAUAUACACAUUUGAGAUUAUUUUCUGUUUUAACCUAUAAUUUUUUUAGGUUGCCGUAAUAAAGACAAAUUUUCAUUGUUCUACCUCUUAAUUUCAUUUAUUUUUUAUCUUAUGGGUUAGGUAUAUCUUCGGCCGUUAUUUAUACUCUUAUUUAAUUAUUUAGAUUUUAUUUUAUUUUAAUAUUUUAAAACCGAGAUAGGAAUUCGGUGAUCACUUCUUCUUACCCUAGUAAUUUUUUAUUUUAUUUUAUUUGUUUCUUAUUAAUUUUUUCUUGGUAUGAUCAAUGAUGAUUACCAACAUCCAGAAGAUGAUAGGUCAUAUUCAAUAAAAUAAAACAGUGGGAUAAUACAGACAAAUUAUUAAAAAAAUAAAAAGAAAACAAGAAUGGAGCGGGCAGUGUGUAGUGAGUGGGACGGAAGCUGCCAAACCCCUAGUUGUUUAGAAAAACCAAAGUCCGGCCAAUAACUGCCAUUGAAAUAAAUGGUCAGUUUUUUCUCCUAUACGCCAUCACCCACGAAAGUGGUUUGGGAGUUUAGCGGAAAACUGCUUGAACCUUCCCUGCAACUCAGCAAUCGCACACCACCUUCUCCUCUACCCUAACGACUCAGGCAACUGUGGAUUCUUCAAACGUCCAAGUCAAGCCCAUACCUGGAAAACAGGAACCAAUUAAUUAUGUAAAUUUCCAUCACGCUUCUUAAAAAAUUCUGUGAAAGUGGAAGAGAGAAGAGGCCAGAAAUGGCUCACAUGGCUAGGUGUAAAUUGUAAUGAAGGCGUGAGUCACGGGGAGAGCAAAGAGAGGUGAAUCACAUGGCCCAAUUCUCCCAAGUAUUUCUUUACUACACUUACGAGCCUAUGACUGCCCCCCUCCUUCCCCCACCCCACCAUUGAGGGUUUCUGCAACAAGUUGGCAGGGGUGAAGAAAAGUAAGAAACACAAGACCAAGAAUAAGAUGUGUCACAAAGAACAAUUCUUUUGAAGGUGGGGCAUAGCUCCAUCUAAGACAUUAAUGGAAUUGCGGGUACGUAGGUUUAUUAUUAUUAUGUCAUUUUUAUUAGACAAUUCUUGAUAAGAAAAGUCAUCUCCCUUAUUGAUUACGUUUGGUACUUGUAGGAUAAAAUGCUAAUGAAUACGCUUUCGUGUGGAAGACCUAUUUAUUAUUUCACCCAAAUCGCCCCAGAUGACGACUUGUUUCUGUCAAUGAAUUAAGUGCUCCUACACAUGAUUUGAAAAGGUCAAAAAUGACAUUUAAAAUAUAUAAAAUCAAGCAACCUAUUCUAAAUUUCUAAUCAAAAUAUAAAAAGAAAAAGCUGUAAUUACCAAAAUGACCUAAAACCAUUAGAAAAAUAAUAUUUACAUAACAAUUUAAACAAAAUAUUGGCUCCACCACUGUUUACAAAUGUUUUAAAUUUAAUUUUUUUUUCUCUUAUAUUUUCCUUUAAAAUUUUCUCGAGACCCUACAUGGCAAAAAUGUUGAAUUAUAGAGUUCAAUGUUCUGUGCGUUUUUUGAAAUAAUUCUCUUAUUGAAUUUAUAAUAAUAAAAAAAUUAAUUCAAGGAAACUCAAUUAAAAUUUUAUUCAUUUUUUUUUUCUUUUUUUACGCCGAAAGGUGGAGGUGAAGAUGUUGAGAGGCCCAAAAAUGGUUUCACGUGUAGGGUAAGGUUUGGGUGCAAACCAUACAGGCGUGAGUGCCGAGGUAGCGAGGUGGAUCACAUGAAAUGAAGCCAACACUUUCUCCACUGGCCCCCACUCGAUCGAUGGCCCCCUCCAUAACUUGUUGAUUAAGGGUUGCAUCCAUUGUCAUGGAGAAAGAAAGGUUUUGGGAAAUGACUCAUACGAGGAAAAAUAUCUCCCUUAGAAAAGAUAUGUUGGAUGUUUUAAGAUCCUUCCAAACAAACAUGUUAUGUCUCAUGAUUUUCAAAAUAGACAUAUUUAAUUUAUUAAAGAUACAGUUCCUUCAAUAAUCACCACCUAUAAUUAUAAAUAUAGCAUCUUUGAUUUGUUUGGUGUAUUCUUUUUGUUCGGUCUUCAUUUCUAGCAUUCCAGUUUAGUCAAAUAUUAAUUCAAUCAAGAAUUUAAGAGAGCGUAAAUCAUUAAGUGAUUCUUUGUUUCUUAUGAUUUAAACUGAUCAUAAGAAAAUAAUUAUUAUAUCAUGGGAGAUAAUCACUUUUAUACCUUAAGCAUUUGAUCGAGACAAAAUUUGUGUUAAAAACAUUGAGUCGAACUUUAACCUUAAUUAACUUAUUGUUUAUUAGUUUAAUUUUAUUGUUUGAUUUCAAAAUUAGAUGUUCAACUACUUUUUAGUUUGAACAAUAAUUUUAAGACAAAUUUGUUUUUAUUCAUUGUUAAUUUUAAUUACAUAAUAAUUUUUUAUGAAAAUGAUCUCUACAUCUUUUGUUAUAUUGCACAUGAUAAGAAACCUAAUAAAUUAUACAGACUUCAAAAGGUGGCCAUAAAAGAUAUUAUACCUUACAACUCUAAACCUCGCUUGGAUCUCAUUUGAGAAUGCCCCCACAUUAAAAGUGGGUAAAAUUGAUAAGCAAGUAUAUGCAGUUGUGGAAGCUUAGAAUAGUUCUUACUUCCCAUGCAAGAACUAUAUUUUCAAUAGUUUGGAUAACACAUUAUAUAACAUGCAUAGUCUAAUAAAGGUUGUUACGGAACUAUGAGGGUUCUUGGAGAAAAAAGUAUAAGAUAGAGGAUGUUAGCUUGAAGAAAUUUGUAGUUGACAUAUUUUUUAAAUUCAAAAUGAUAGACUCCAAGAUAUUUAUGAGUUGAGUCUUAAGAACUGCAAAUCAUUUUGCAUGAGAUGAAAUGUUAUUGAGUGGGUCUUUCCAAAUUGCAGUUAUAAUGGAAAAUUUACCACUCUUAUGGAAAGAUUUUAAAAAUUACUUGAAGUAUAAAUACAAAGAGAUGUGACUAGCUUCAAACAAUUGUGAGAUUGAGGAUUGAAGACAACAAUCAAAUUUCUCACAAAAAAGUUAGGAAAACUUUCUAUAAAGUCCAAGGCAAAUUUGAUAAAGUAGAAAACAAAAAAAAAAGGGAUGUAUUUCGAUGAAAGUCCUAAUCAAAGGAAAGACAAAUUUGAAAAUUUAAUAAAAAGUACUAUGUGUGCAAUAAGGUAGGGAUUCUUAGUCUAAAGGAUAAGACAAGAAAAUUAAAUACAUAUGAUUGGAGAAGAGAAAUUGAUAAAUAAUGCAUUAGAUUUGAUUCUUUCUACUACAUAGUUUGAAGGUGAACAACUCUAAGGAAUUGUGCAUGGACACGGGAACUACUUGCAAUGUAUGUUCAAAUAUAAAGAUGUUUAUUUUCUUAUGUACAAAUAAAUGGAAAGAAGUUAUACAUAGCUAUGUCUAAAGUCAAAGGCAUAGGAAAGGUGGUAUUAAAGAUGACUUUAGGAAAGACACUCAAUGAUGUGUUGUAUGUGCUAGAUAUCCAUAAGAAUUUAGUGCAUGACUCGUUAUAAGAAUGGCUUCAAAAUGGUCUUCAAAUCUAAUAAAUUGGUAUUCACCAGGAAUGACAUGUAUGCGGGCAAAGAAUAUCGUGCAAAAGGGUUUGAGAUGAAUAUAAUGACUUUAUUGUGAGAUUUUAGUAAUAAUAAUAAAAUUAAAUUUUGUGUUUAUUUACUUUAGUCUUAUAAUUUGUGGCAUAACAAAUUAGGAUGUGUGAAUUUUUAUUCUUUGUGAAAAUUAAGAAAUUUAAAUUUAUUGUCAAACUUUCAUAUCAAUCUUAGUCAUAAGUGUGAAAACAAAAAUACGAAGAAGCAAGACAAUUAGAGAAUUUGAAGUACCUUUUCAUGAGCUCUCUUUAAAACAUGGUAUUAUUUAUCAAACUCCUCACUCACCUUGAUCAAACGAUGUUGUUGAACAUAAGAACCAAAUAUGAAAGGAAAUGAUGAAUGUUAUAUUGAUAAGUUUUGGUUUACCCUAUAAUUUGGGAGGGGAAGCAAUUCUUUUGGCAUACUACAUUUGUGCUAAUGAUAUUAAUGCACAUGGAUUCCUUGUAUAUGCAUUAAACAUUUCUUUUUAAUUUGUGAAAAUACGAUCAUUGAAUCAAGAAAUACCUUUUUUUUUUAAGAACACAUUUCCCUAUAAAAGCAUAUCAGAGAAAAAUUAUCAAAAAAAGAACAUAUAAUAUUGAUAGUAAUAAUCAUCAAAACAUUGACAAACCUAAACAUAAUAAGUUUGAUUAUUUGACUUAUAUACAUUAAAGAAUGAACCCUAGAUAUUUAAAAAAUUAAUUUCUACAUGGUGUUUGCAUUUUUGGUUAAAUAGAAAAAGUUGAAAUAUUUAAUUUUUUCUAUUUAACUAAAAGUAAUCGAUUAAUGUAAUUAAAUUGAACCUAUUGAUAACAAACUCACUUUAAUUAUAUAGGUCAAUAUCAAUAGAUUACUUUAAGCUGAACAAUAAAAACUAAAAAUAAAUAAAUACUUACCUUUUUAUUCAAUCAAAAAACAAAUACGAUACUAAUAAGCCUUUUAGGUUAUAAAUGGAAUAUUAAUUGGAAAUUGAAAGUCGAAGGAGAAGGAUGUAAAAAUCACUAUUAAAAAUUUAGAUAAUUAUUUAGAGAUUCUUGAAUUGCAUUUGGUAGGUAUUUACUUUGUUAUAUAAUACAUUGUCAUCAAAAAUAUUUUUUUAUUAUUUAUAUUUAAAAUUAGAUUUUUUUUUUCAAACCAUUAAUGAUAAAAAUGUUAUUAUUAGAAGCGUUAUGUAUUAAAAUCCUUGACAAACAAUUUAUAACAAAAUGUUACUAUGAGAUUAAAUUCCUUUUCUUGAUGCAUCCUUGAUAAUGUAUCAUUAAUCCUCUUAUUUACUUCAAUCGAAUCAAUCCACCAAUGGUAUAGUUACUUUGAAUUGACCUCAAAUUGAAAUGCUAGAAUCAAAAUGGAUAGGUUACCCUUCUAUGAUACUAUCCCGUUUAUAUAAAUUAAUUUUCAUUGUCGUCUCAAUAAAAAAAUCUCAUACUCCCAUGGGGCCAUCCCAUUAAAUUAAAUUUUUUUAAUUAUAUUAAAAAUAAAUAUAUUUUAUAAAUAAACAUAUAUUAUAAUUUUUGUAACUUAUAUGAUCUGUCCAACUUUAUCUCUGAAUGAUAGAGUUUAAUAUUAAGAAAUCGUGUGUACAAUAAAAUUUGACAUUAAAAAAUGCAUAUAAAAUAGGAAUUUUCGUCGGACGUUUAAAGAUGGAGCGGAGCUGUCACCUAUAUCUAAUUUGAAAGCAAUGUGUAUUGUUCCAGGCUUCCAGCCAUGCAUCUACUGUGCAAACUACAAGUCUACACGGCUGGUGUUGAUGCCAGCCACGUAGUACUUGUAUCCAAGCUGGCCAUCCAUAGGAAUUUAGAAGGUGGGCAUGUUGGGCUUAUCCAUAGCCUGAUUCCGGAUAUUUCAUAUUUGUUUAAUCUUCUUCUCGGCUCAUUGAUUGGGUUGGGACUUGGGACCAAACUUUGUCUUCAGUCUCUGUGUGUUGGGACGCUUGACAGUUGUUGUUACUUAUUGACUGGGAGAAGAAGGAUGGACGAGUGUCACUGCAGAAUAUAAAAUAAAUCAUCCCCCACUUCAUCCAUUCUCUUCCAUAGUCCAGCUGUCCCAAAUAUCGGCUGUAAGCCUGUAACCACCGUCAAGUUCGCCAGCUGCCCCACUUAUUAUGUUGCCCAACUUCUUUCACAUAUUCCUAUGAGAUGGUAUUGGGUCCCAACACUAUUGAGUACGCCUACCGUCACUUCAACCAUGAAAAAUUCAAUUUUUAUUGAAUCUCAGGGUGUGGACUCUCAUGCUUUUGCUCCCCGAAGCCCAGCCCAAACCCGGUCUCACAUGCAAUUUAGUUCUCAACGUAUUUUCCUUCAAUAAGAGCCUUCGAUUUCUGAUGAGAAGAACCCCACCUCUACUCUCAGCAGUGAGUCAAAGGCCCACCAACCGUGUAGGUGGUCCAAAUAUGAAAUAUCAGAGACUGUGGAGCCCAGACUUGCACCAUCAUCCCUCUGUCUCUAUCUCCUUCGGCUUCUCUCCAAUCCCUUUUGGAAACCACUUUUCCCUUUUUAUCUUCUCCUGUGGCAUUGUCCUUGCCAACAGCUACCCAAAUGAAAUGAUGACCAGAACCUUCCAGCCCCUACGCUAUCUCCAUGAGCUGUUCAUCAGAAAGCGACACCCACUGGCCAAAGCAGACCUACAGGUGCCGAGCCAACUCAGGCACUCGUGGUCACCAAAUUAACCUCGGUAUUAGUCCUGAGUCAUGACCCCUCUCCACCGGAUCAUCUCCGGCAUUUCCGAGGAUAACCGCAGGCGGUGCAGCGUACCAAACGUUUGUGUCCCAUUAUUUUCUUGCUUGGAAACUGUUGACCGACACUGCAAAACUCUUGAACUCAGUUUCUUUCCGCAGUUCCAUCAACUUUGUAGACGCAUUGGGCUUUCCACGUACAUACUCCUGCAGCUGAGACCAGUUUAUUCAAAUUCUUAUACAUUAUCUAGGAGGAGGCAGAGCUAUAGUCAUGUUUUAAUCUAGUAGGAUAGGAGAUGACCCAUAAUCGAUCAUCAUAUAUAGACACGAUCAUCAUGUAGAAAUUGAGUGAGGAUGAGUUUUACACUUUUACUCACCUCUCGAAAGGCAUUCUUAAGGGGGAAUAAAAAAAACCAAAAUUAUGUUACCUUUAAUAACGUUUGUUCUCAAAAAUUGUUUUCAAAACUAUUUUUAUAGUGUUUUUUAAAACAAAAAUCAAUUUAAAAGCAUUAUCAAUAUACUUUUUAUACUGUCAAAUAUUAUUUAAAGACAAACUUUAUAUUAUAGUGUUUAUUUUUAACUUUUUUUAAUUUUCAUCUCAUUAUUAUUUUAAAAUAAAUUAUAAAAAUCAAAUAAAAAUAACUAAAAUAUAUUCUCCAAAACAUCAUAUUUUAUAUUUUCAAAAAUAAAACUCUCGAGAUAAAUAAUAUUUCCUUAACUUUCAUAUUAAACUUUAUUUUAAAUCAUAAGUUUUUUUCAACAAAAUCAUUCAAACAAACAUAAAAACUCCGAGUAAGCUUAAACAAGAGCUAGCUUCUCAAAACCGAUUUCCACCAUCUAAUUUCUUGCAUAUGUUUCAUAUUAAGCACUACUUGUAUUUUUCUAGUAAGACAAAAAGGUGCUUGCUAUCAAGUAUCAAGAACGAAGGUCUUUUAAGGUAAAACCCAAAAUACAGGCCCAAUUACAAAGUUCUGACAACUGUCAAAAGCCAUUUGAAAUCUGGACCAGUAAAACACUGCUGUUUUGGCGGCCCAAAGUUUGGACAUGAAGGAUGUGGAAGAGGCCUAUGGUUAAAUUAAAUAUAGAAGUGGGGGUGGGGAUGGCAUAUGGUAAUGUAAUAGGCUUACAUCAAUGCAAAAAGCUAACCAGGAGGAUUUUCCAAACCCAUUGCAUUAAUAACUCCUCCCAAAUGUUGGAGACAUUUUUAAUAUAAAUUUGUACUACUUAUUAAAAUAGGAGAUGUUUGUUAACUUUUUCUUUUCAAAUAUACCCUUAAGUACCAAGAAAAUCUAUCCAUAAAUUCAUUAAUAAAUAUUAAUUUAAUCUUAAAUUAAAUUUAUAUCAUUUUUUAAGGAAGCCGAUGAAAAUGAAAGAACAAAAAAAGGGAUAUUAGAGCCUUUCAAGCAUUAUGAUUUUUUUUUUUGAAAAGUUAACUUCUCUCUUUUACGAUUAUAAGAAUUUAAAUAUAAUUUAUGAGUUAUAUUUUAUUUGAAAUCAUAUUUUCACUUUAAUUAGUUUUAUAAAGAAUUUUUAUAGAUCUUAUGAUAUAUUUUUAUUUGUGCUUUUCUCUUAAUCGCAAACUUUGAUUUGUGUAAAAUUUUUUUUGCCCAAAACCACCCUAAUAAAAAUUUUUAAUUUUUUUUAUAAUACUAUAUAUAUAUAUAUAUAUAGAGGUUGAGAAUAAAAUUAUAAUUUUAAAACCAUGAUUUUAAUAUUAUAAAUAUUCAUUAGAUAAAAAAUAAUCUCUUAUAUAUACUAAGAUUUCAUUUGGAUAGUUUCAUGCUUUAACUUAGUUGAAAGCUAAAAUUUAAGACAAAGUUAUGAUUUUUAGAGAAAUAUUUUAAAUUUUUCACUAAAUAUGAAAAUUUUUAAUUUAUAAAUCCAAAUAAAACUUCCAAACCACCUUUUCCUACUUCCAUAUAUUCCUUAAUCAAUUUAAAAAUAAAACUCUUAAAUUUCCAAAAAUUGAUCCAAAUAGAGAAUAAAUUAAAUAUAUGUUUUUAUGGAAAUAAAUCUUCUAUUCCUCCUUUAAAUAAAUUUCUCAAAAUUUUAUAAUUUUCCAAUAUAUAUAUACAUGUUGACAGAUCAAAACUGAAAAUUCUUAAAAUAUAUGCAGAUUUUCUUCAAACAAUCAAUCAAAGCAAUAAACAAAGUCUAAGAGAUUCAGAGCAAAAGUCAUAACCUCUACAUUGGCAAUGAUCCUCCUUGUCAAGUCUACCUCUAACAAGUAAUGAUCCUAAAUUUGCUCCGGGCUGUAAGCCAAAAGUUUGGAAUAAACUAGUAAUGUUUUUCAAAACCCAUCCCAUCCGACGAGCUGGCAAAUCUUAAAACCAUUAUUCACGGAUCAUGGGAUCAUGGAUCAUUAAGCUGAAACCGUCACCGAAAAUAUCAAAUAAUUCUAUACUUAAUUUGACAUUGCAAACCAACCUAACCUUGAUGAGCCUCCUUCCUCAGCAUUUCCAGAGAGGGCAGCUCGCUGCGGUUCCACGUUUCCACGGGCAAAAAUUACACGUCACGUCUCACGGAGAGGGCUUCCGAGAAACAACUAGAAUGGAGCUUCUAAAUAUACAAUUGGAGCGACACGUGUCGAUCAUGGCACGCUCCUACCUCGAAAAGCGUUCCUAAGGUGCCCACUGUUCCUGUCACUAUCAAUUCUAAUCUAAAACGUUUAAUCAACUGCGGAGUUCUAGCCACGGAGGGUCUUGAUGAUGAUCAGAACUUCCAUCCAACGGCUCUGAUUUCACCUCUUGUUGCUGGGUCUGAGCUUCCUUCUCUGACUCCUCCUCUUCAUCUCUUCUGACGCGCUUCACGCCGAUGGAAACACCGAAUAAUCGUGGGCUUAAAUCGCCCUCGGCCUUGACGCCACUCUGUCCGGCUUCCACAGGCAACUGUCUCUCCGUCAACAAGUCCAGCGGCCUGCCUUCCGGAAUACCUCCUGCGUCAAUUUGGCCGGCGGCGUAGUUUGUCAUCAGAGCGAGUAUGUUAUUACACAAGCCCCUCAACUGCGUUAGUUCCUGAGUUAGUUGCGAGUUCUCCCUCCUGAGCCGUUCGUUCUCUUCUAGAAUCUCAGGCGUACUGGAGCAGCUUGAGGUGCGAUGCACCGUAACGGGUACGGUGGCGGGUGAUGAGUUCGAAGAGAGAACUUGUUCAUCGCCGGAAUUCGUCGGAGACACCGCCCGAGCAACAACGGGAAGGACUGCCGCAACCGUCACCGUCGUCGCUGCAGCGGCAGCCAUCGGCGAGAUUUUCCGGCGCUGUAUGUCUCGCAAAAGCGCUUUUUCUCCUUUGCGGAAGUAGUCGUUGGCGAACUCCCAUCGGUCGGGCACAACCUUACGAAAUCCCUGCAGAUUAAAAAGAGAAUAAACAAAUCAUUUAAUAAAGCAUACUUUCUAAACGGAAGAAAGAUCAAACCUUUAUCAUACGUUUGGUUUCACAGCAAUAGGAAGAAAUAGAAAGAAAGGAAAACUAGGAAUCCGCCAUAUUGUUAGAUUCCAAAUUUUCUUUUAUUUGGCCACAACUUCUAGUAGCAUUAUCAGUUUCACGUAUAAGCUUUUCCGGGAGGACACUUACAUAAGUGUUUAGCUGUCGAACGAAGCUUGAGAAGUUAUUGUGUUUGAAGUACUUCGGAAGCAAAUCCCUCGCAAAUUCAGCAGGUCGCCAAACGAUGAAGGUUGAUCCGUCUUCGUUCCACGAAAUAAGAUCGUCCACAGCCGGAUCGUCCACAAGCUGAUAUGUUUUCGUCAGAAACGGCGUCGGGAGCGAUCUCUGUGAUUCUCCGGCUAGUGAUUCGCCGGUCUGUUCAACCGGCAAUGGUGCCAUGAGCUUCGCUCUCAGAUCCGAACCCUAAGAAACUGGAACAUCUAUGAAAUUUACUUGUUUAGUCCUUCGACUAAAAUUUUUUACAUGCUCAAAUCAAAUUUACUAAAAACGAAAGAAAAUAUCCAACCUCUAUUUGCCCCUGAGAAAGGGCAAGAAAAUGUGAAAAAAAAAAGUUCAUUUUCCAAAUUAAAUUAGAAAAAUCCUAAAGAGAGAGGGAGAGAACAACUAUCGCCUAACUGAGCCCCAAUCAACCACGGUCAGUUAUUCACUUUGUCUAUGACCAGCAACAUAUCGCAUAACAUUCAAUAUUCCAUCUCCUACCUCUUGUUUUCUAUUUUCAUCACAGUUUUCUCACCAACCAAACAAACUACUUAAUCAAACUAGACUAUUUCUAUAGCAAAAAACUAUUAAAAUCAAAUAGAAUUACCUGAUAACCUAUGCUUACAUCCAAAAGAGGAAGAAACACCGAACCAGAAACGAUCGCCGGAAAAGAGAGGAGAGAGAAGGUUGGAGAGAGGUGGGUGUUUUUUUGUGCUGGUUCUAGAAGUUUCUGGGUGGAGUAAAUGAUGAAGAAAAAGAGAAUUCGUGAGUUCGAGAAGGAAAAGGAAAGAAAGGUGAGAAAUAAAAAAGAAAAAGGAAAAGGGAGGCAAAAAAAUUAAUAAUAAAAAGAGGUGGGGCCCACAAGCACACGAAGGAAGAGAGAGAAAGAUAAAAGGAUAGGAAGGUGCGAGAAGGCAGCAAUGGUGUUUUCCAGAAGCUUCGUUCUCUAUCAUUCAUUUUUUUUUCCUUUUUUUUUUGAAGAAUUUAACCGGUUGUCUUCUACGUGUCGGCCAUCUGAUGGAGUCCAAGCUUAAACUCAAGAUAAGGAUGUUGAGACUUGAGUGGAUGGAUGGGGUCCGAUUCACUCACCCGGUGGUGAAGUACACAUGAUUAUGCCCCCAAAUUCUAACCUUACCAUCUUUGCCACGUGUGAAAGGAAUGUGAUUGAUUGUUUUAUUCAUCCUACUUAUGACAUUGAAUGGUUACUUUUGAUUAAGCCUUUUGCCUCUGUAUUAAAUUUUUAUAUUUGUAAUUUUUUUUUAUACUUACAUAUGAUAACACAAUGACACCGUAUAAUGUUAUUCAAAAGUAAACGUGGCCGUAUCUACUUUAUACUCUCAAAUUAUAAUUUGAAUGACCAUAAUUUUGACUUUUUUUUUUUUAUGAAAAAAUUAAGGCUUUUAAAAUUUAUGGUUGGGUAAAUUGAUGUUUUAAGUUUGAUUAAGAUUGAUAGUGCAUGGGACCAUAUAAAUGUACGACUUUAUAUAAGAUUUAACGUGAUGACUUACAAGUGUAGACAAAAGAAAAGUGAAAAAAUAGACAAAUCACUUAUAAGUGUCGGACCAUUUUAAAGUUUAUUAUUGAAUUUAAUCUCUUUUUAUUCACAUCUAACUCAAAUAAAAUAUAUCAUUUUUGAGUGAAAAAUCUUCUUUUAAUUUAUAUGGAACUUUUUAAUAAAUAAAUUAUAUUUGUAAAUAACUUGGUUAUUGUACGUAGAAGUCUAAGAUUGUCGAUAAAGAUCAUAUCAGACGUUGAUAAUUUCAUUUUUAGUUGGAAAUAUGAUGAUAUUCUCCCAAAACUCAAUGUUGUAUCAAACAAACAUGAGGAAAGGGUUGGUGCAGCAAUUAUGAGAUUCCUUUCUGAACAAUCGCAAAGAGGAAUGAUGAGUUGCUUUAAAAUAGAAAGGAUCCAAGAUUUUGUAAAUAAUAGAGACCCAAUGCAUUCAUAUGAUUUUCC
Molecule: long non-coding RNA, 34559 nt
Filed under: Vitis vinifera (wine grape)
Lineage: Eukaryota; Viridiplantae; Streptophyta; Magnoliopsida; Vitales; Vitaceae
Description: long non-coding RNA (VVIN_LNC000380)
Source: RNAcentral